Molecule: ribosomal RNA, 412 nt
Filed under: Corynebacterium glutamicum S9114
Lineage: Bacteria; Bacillati; Actinomycetota; Actinomycetes; Mycobacteriales; Corynebacteriaceae
Description: bacterial SSU rRNA
Rfam family: Bacterial small subunit ribosomal RNA
Source: RNAcentral
GUGGAGAGUUUGAUCCUGGCUCAGGACGAACGCUGGCGGCGUGCUUAACACAUGCAAGUCGAACGCUGAAACCAAAUGCUUGCAUUUGGUGGAUGAGUGGCGAACGGGUGAGUAACACGUGGGUGAUCUGCCCUACACUUUGGGAUAAGCCUGGGAAACUGGGUCUAAUACCGAAUAUUCACACCACCGUAGGGGUGGUGUGGAAAGCUUUAUGCGGUGUGGGAUGAGCCUGCGGCCUAUCAGCUUGUUGGUGGGGUAAUGGCCUACCAAGGCGUCGACGGGUAGCCGGCCUGAGAGGGUGUACGGCCACAUUGGGACUGAGACACGGCCCAGACUCCUACGGGAGGCAGCAGUGGGGAAUAUUGCACAAUGGGCGCAAGCCUGAUGCAGCGACGCCGCGUGGGGGAUGACG